UGCACAGACAACCAGGAUGUUGGCUUAGAAGCAGCCACUCAUUCAAAGAGUGCGUAAUAGCUCACUGGUCGAGUGAUCCUGCGCCGAAGAUUUCCGGGGCUAAAACUUACUACCGAAGCUACGGCAUCAGUAAUGAUGGGUAGGGGAGCUUCCCAUACGGGUUGAAGCAUGACCGUAAGGACAUGUGGACAGUAUGGGAGUGAGAAUGUUGGCAUGAGUAGCGAGAUGUGGGUGAGAAUCCCACAGGCCGUAAACCCAAGGUUUCCAGGGGAAGGUUCGUCCGCCCUGGGUUAGUCGGGACCUAAGCUGAGGCCGAAAGGCGUAGGUGAUGGACAACAGGUUGAUAUUCCUGUACUACCGAUAACCGUUUGAGAGAAGGGAUGACACAGUAGGAUAAGCUAAGCACACUGUUGGUUAUGUGUGCCCAAGCAUUGAGGCAGUCAAAGUAGGCAAAUCCGCUUUGAUAAUGCUGGGAUGUGAUGGGGAGCGAAAUUUAGUAGCGAAGUAGCUGAUUUCACACUGUCAAGAAAAGUCUCUAUCGAGGUUAAAGGUACCCGUACCGCAAACCGACACAGGUGGGUGAGGAGAGUAUCCUAAGGCCAGCGAGAGAACUGUUGUUAAGGAACUCGGCAAAAUGACCCCGUAACUUAGGGAUAAGGGGUGCCACCAUCAGGUGGCCGCAGAGAAUAGGCCCAAGCGACUGUUUACCAAAAACAUAGGUUUCUGCUAAGUCGCAAGACGAUGUAUAGGAGCUGACGCCUGCCCGGUGCUGGAAGGUUAAGGGGAUCUGUUAGAGCAAUCGAAGCAGUGAACUUAAGCCCCAGUAAACGGCGGCCGUAACUAUAACGGUCCUAAGGUAGCGAAAUUCCUUGUCGGGUAAGUUCCGACCCGCACGAAAGGCGUAACGAUUUGGGCACUGUCUCAACAACAGACUCGGUGAAAUUGUAAUUCCGGUGAAGAUGCCGGAUACCUGCGACAGGACGGAAAGACCCCAUGGAGCUUUACUGUAGCUUGACAUUGGGUCUUGGUACUACAUGUACAGGAUAGGUGGGAGGCUUUGAAACCAGGACGCCAGUUUUGGCGGAGCCAUCCUUGGGAUACCACCCUUGUAGUACUGGGACUCUAACCAUAGGCCAUGAAUCUGGUCUUGGGACACUGUCAGGUGGGCAGUUUGACUGGGGCGGUCGCCUCCCAAAAGGUAACGGAGGCGCUCAAAGGUUCUCUCAGUACGGUCGGAAAUCGUACGUAGAGUGUAAAGGCAAAAGAGAGCUUGAUUGCAAGACAUACAGGUCGAGCAAGGAUGAAAAUCGGACUUAGUGAUCCGGUGGUUCUGCGUGGAAGGGCCAUCGCUCAACGGAUAAAAGCUACCCUGGGGAUAACAGGCUUAUCUCCCCCAAGAGUCCACAUCGACGGGGAGGUUUGGCACCUCGAUGUCGGCUCAUCACAUCCUGGGGCUGUAGUAGGUCCCAAGGGUUGGGCUGUUCGCCCAUUAAAGUGGUACGCGAGCUGGGUUCAGAACGUCGUGAGACAGUUCGGUCCCUAUCCGUCGCAGGCGUAGGAAAUUUGAGAAGACCUGUCCUUAGUACGAGAGGACCGGGAUGGACGUACCUCUGGUGUACCAGUUGUCCUGCCAAGGGCAUGGCUGGGUAGCUAUGUACGGAAUGGAUAAGCGCUGAAAGCAUCUAAGCGCGAAGCCAACUUCAAGAUAAGAUUUCCCACCGCAAGGGUAAGACCCCAGAAAGACUAUCUGGUUGA
This 1755-nucleotide ribosomal RNA is filed under the name Clostridioides difficile. RNAcentral describes it as "bacterial LSU rRNA". It matches the Rfam family "Bacterial large subunit ribosomal RNA", at positions 1082 to 2856 of the family's 2925-position model. Lineage: Bacteria; Bacillati; Bacillota; Clostridia; Peptostreptococcales; Peptostreptococcaceae. The record is from RNAcentral.